Molecule: ribosomal RNA, 253 nt
Filed under: uncultured bacterium
Lineage: Bacteria
Description: partial 16S ribosomal RNA
Rfam family: Bacterial small subunit ribosomal RNA
Source: RNAcentral
UACGGGGGGAGCAAGCGUUGUUCGGAUUUACUGGGCGUAAAGGGCGCGUAGGCGGCGUAACAAGUCACUUGUGAAAUCUCCGGGCUUAACCCGGAGCGGCCAAGUGAUACUGUUGUGCUAGAGUGCAGAAGGGGCAACUGGAAUUCUCGGUGUAGCGGUGAAAUUCGUAGAUAUCGAGAGGAACACCGGUGGCGAAGGCGGCCAACUGGACGAAUACUGACGCUGAGACUCGAAAGCGUGGGGAGCAAACAGG